This 75-nucleotide small RNA is filed under the name Pseudomonas solani. Its description in RNAcentral is "sX9 sRNA". It matches the Rfam family "Xanthomonas sRNA sX9". Lineage: Bacteria; Pseudomonadati; Pseudomonadota; Gammaproteobacteria; Pseudomonadales; Pseudomonadaceae. RNAcentral also lists the same sequence under 1 other name. The record is from RNAcentral.
AUGUACUGGAGUACAUUGCGGUUCCUGUGCGCUGGUCGCCCCCAACCUGCCUGCGCUCGCGACGCUUGGCGAGGC